GUUGGUUUUAAACAUGAUUAGUAGGAAGUAUAUAUACUUAAUCAUAACUGUUUUUCAGGAGAAGUGACAUUUCAGAUCUAGAUUCACAAAAAUCUCAAAAAAUUUCUCUCAAACUUUUUCCAAAUUUCUUCAAGCAUAAGCAAUUUCUAUUGAUCCAUUCAUCAUCCUGAGGCACUAUUGAGAGGAUUUGGACGUGGAAGCAGAGGAAAUCGUGGCAUAUUGAGCUAUGUGCAAAGAUUGA
RNAcentral lists this long non-coding RNA (241 nucleotides) under Lathyrus oleraceus (garden pea). RNAcentral's name for it is "Pisum sativum (pea) long non-coding RNA (PSAT_LNC005477)". Lineage: Eukaryota; Viridiplantae; Streptophyta; Magnoliopsida; Fabales; Fabaceae. The record is from RNAcentral.